This is a long non-coding RNA of Homalodisca vitripennis (glassy-winged sharpshooter), 209 nucleotides long. RefSeq lists it as uncharacterized. The record is from RefSeq and is a predicted model, not a curated record. Lineage: Eukaryota; Metazoa; Arthropoda; Insecta; Hemiptera; Cicadellidae. The transcript has 3 exons.
UUGUGCUGCUUCCGAUCGUGGCACCGUACGCCCGCACGGCGCAAGUCGUUGCGGGGUCGUUUCGGUGAUCACUCGGCGCUCGCGGGGGUUAUGCCGACCGCGGUGGGCCGCACUUCUCCCUCAGUAGGACGUCGCGACCCGUUGGACGGCGGUCGACGGCCCCGGCGGUAGCCCGGGACGCGGGAAAGCUUCUGCCGUACCGUGCUCCC